UACGGAGGAUGCGAGCGUUAUCCGGAUUUAUUGGGUUUAAAGGGUGCGUAGGCGGAUCGAUCAGUCAGUGGUGAAAUCUCCCGGCUCAACCGGGACACUGCCAUUGAAACUGUCGAUCUAGAGUGUACAAGAGGUAAGCGGAAUGCGUGGUGUAGCGGUGAAAUGCAUAGAUAUCACGCAGAACCCCGAUUGCGAAGGCAGCUUACUGGUGUACAACUGACGCUGAGGCACGAAAGCGUGGGUAUCAAACAGG
RNAcentral lists this ribosomal RNA (253 nucleotides) under uncultured bacterium. Its description in RNAcentral is "partial 16S ribosomal RNA". It matches the Rfam family "Bacterial small subunit ribosomal RNA", at positions 524 to 776 of the family's 1533-position model. The record is from RNAcentral.